UACGGGGGGAGCAAGCGUUGUUCGGAUUUACUGGGCGUAAAGGGCGCGUAGGCGGCGUGACAAGUCACUUGUGAAAUCUCCGGGCUUAACUCGGAGCGGCCAAGUGAUACUGUCGUGCUAGAGUGCGGAAGGGGCUACUGGAAUUCUCGGUGUAGCGGUGAAAUGCGUAGAUAUCGGGAGGAACACCAGUGGCGAAGGCGACUACCUGGCCCACUCUUGACGCUGAGGCGCGAAAGCUAGGGGAGCGAACGGG
RNAcentral lists this ribosomal RNA (253 nucleotides) under uncultured bacterium. RNAcentral's name for it is "partial 16S ribosomal RNA". It matches the Rfam family "Bacterial small subunit ribosomal RNA", at positions 524 to 776 of the family's 1533-position model. The record is from RNAcentral.